UACGUAGGUGACGAGCGUUGUCCGGAUUUACUGGGCGUAAAGAGCGCGCAGGCGGUCGUUCAAGUCGCGUGUGAAAGCCCCCGGCUCAACUGGGGAGGGUCACGCGAUACUGAUCGACUGGAAGGCAGGAGAGGGUAGUGGAAUUCCCGGUGUAGUGGUGAAAUGCGUAGAUAUCUGGAGGAACACCGGUGGCGAAGGCGGCAUCCUGGACCAACACUGACGCUGAGUGAGCGAAAGCCAGGGGAGCAAACGGG
This 254-nucleotide ribosomal RNA is filed under the name uncultured bacterium. Its description in RNAcentral is "partial 16S ribosomal RNA". It matches the Rfam family "Bacterial small subunit ribosomal RNA", at positions 524 to 776 of the family's 1533-position model. The record is from RNAcentral.